GUGUCAGCCGCCGCGGUAAUACGGAGGAUCCGAGCGUUAUCCGGAUUUAUUGGGUUUAAAGGGUGCGUAGGCGGGAUAAUAAGUCAGUGGUGAAAGUUUGCAGCUUAACUGUAAAAUUGCCGUUGAAACUGUUAUUCUUGAGAGUAGAUAAGGUAGGCGGAUUGUGUUGUGUAGCGGUGAAAUGCAUGGAUUUAACACAGAACCCCGAUUGCGAAUGCAGCUUACCGGGCUACAUCUGACGCUGAUGCACGAAAGCGUGGGGAUCAAACAGGAUUAGAUACCCUGGUAGUCCACGCAGUAAACGAUGAAUACUAGCUGUAUGCGAUAUAUUGUAUGUGGCAAAGCGAAAGCAUUAAGUAUUCCACCUGGGGAGUACGUUCGCAAGAAUGAAACUUAAAGGAAUUGGCGG
RNAcentral lists this ribosomal RNA (409 nucleotides) under uncultured bacterium. RNAcentral describes it as "bacterial SSU rRNA". It matches the Rfam family "Bacterial small subunit ribosomal RNA", at positions 505 to 916 of the family's 1533-position model. The record is from RNAcentral.